GUGGAUUUACUAGGAAGGUGGGACGUUGGAGGGGUGGCCGCAUGGAGUGAGUACUGUCUCUGGCCACCGAGCAGAGCCAGUGACAGCAGCGUCCUGGUAGGCAGGCAGGCGUAUCAGGUUUCAGAGGAUGCGGCUGGGAACGGGAGUAGAGGUGAGGGGUCGUUGCAUCUGUCGCGGUGUGUAUCUUUUGGGGGUUCAGCGCCACCAGCGACUUGGGCCUCAUUCAUCGCGCUUACAUUUCUCCACCUCAUUUGAAGAACGAGCUUCGUAGCCCACGGAGCUGAGGUAUAUGAGCUCCCUGAAAGCACAAAGCAGUUAUUUCCAUCUUCAGAUCAUUCAGAGAUUAUGAAGGCACAAACCCUGCCUUCAAUUUGCUUAUAGUCAAGUGGAGCAGACACAAGUCAAUGAUUGCAGUAUAGCCACUGAAGUAAUCUAAAAGAGAAGGCGUUUUAGAUUUAUUCCCUGCGUAUGUACUUGAGAUACCAAAGCAAUAUCAAGACAGAGAAGAACCAAGGACACCUAUUUACCUUGGCACUUUCCAGUGCUUCAUUGAGUGGGAUCACUUCAUGCUCCUUAUGUUCAUCAAAAACCUUCUGAAAAGCUCUUAUUGGAGUC
This 615-nucleotide long non-coding RNA is filed under the name Homo sapiens (human). Its description in RNAcentral is "PREDICTED lncRNA (TCONS_00085951)". Lineage: Eukaryota; Metazoa; Chordata; Mammalia; Primates; Hominidae. The record is from RNAcentral.